RNAcentral lists this ribosomal RNA (253 nucleotides) under uncultured bacterium. Its description in RNAcentral is "partial 16S ribosomal RNA". It matches the Rfam family "Bacterial small subunit ribosomal RNA", at positions 524 to 776 of the family's 1533-position model. The record is from RNAcentral.
UACGUAGGGUGCAAGCGUUGUCCGGAAUUAUUGGGCGUAAAGCGCGCGCAGGCGGCCUUUUAAGUCUGAUGUGAAAGCCCACGGCUCAACCGUGGAAGGUCAUUGGAAACUGAGAGGCUUGAGUACAGAAGAGGAAAGCGGAAUUCCACGUGUAGCGGUGAAAUGCGUAGAGAUGUGGAGGAACACCAGUGGCGAAGGCGGCUUUCUGGUCUGUAACUGACGCUGAGGCGCGAAAGCGUGGGGAGCAAACAGG